AGAGUUUGAUCAUGGCUCAGAGCGAACGUUAGCGGCGCGCCUAACACAUGCAAGUCGCACGAGAAAGGGCUUCGGCCCCGGUAAAGUGGCGCACGGGUGCGUAACACGUAGGCAAUCUUCCCUUCGGUGGGGGAUAACGUUCCGAAAGGAACGCUAAUACCGCGUAAGACCACGACCGGUUCGCCGGAUGUGGUCAAAGGUGGCCUCUCCUUGGAAGCCAUCGCCGGAGAAUGAGCCUGCGGCCCAUCAGCUAGUUGGCGGGGUAAUGGCCCACCAAGGCAGAGACGGGUAGCUGGUCUGAGAGGAUGAUCAGCCACACUGGCACUGAAACACGGGCCAGACUUCUACGGAAGGCAGCAGUGGGGAAUCUUGGUCAAUGGGCGCAAGCCUGAACCAGCGACGCCGCGUGAGUGAUGAAGGCCUUCGGGUUGUAAAGCUCUGUGGGGAGGGACGAAAACGGCUCGGAAUAAUACGCCGAGUCCUUGACGGUACCUCCUUAGCAAGCACCGGCUAACUCUGUGCCAGCAGCCGCGGUAAUUC
This 540-nucleotide ribosomal RNA is filed under the name uncultured bacterium. RNAcentral describes it as "bacterial SSU rRNA". It matches the Rfam family "Bacterial small subunit ribosomal RNA", at positions 8 to 526 of the family's 1533-position model. The record is from RNAcentral.